This 2546-nucleotide long non-coding RNA is filed under the name Phaseolus vulgaris (common bean). RNAcentral's name for it is "long non-coding RNA (PVUL_LNC002012)". Lineage: Eukaryota; Viridiplantae; Streptophyta; Magnoliopsida; Fabales; Fabaceae. The record is from RNAcentral.
AGCCAACGAGUGGCAAUACUGGCAUUGGAUUAGCAUUCCUGGCAGCAGCCAAGGGUUACAAGCUUAUAAUUACAAUGCCCGCUACAAUGAGUCUUGAAAGAAGAAUCAUUCUUCUGUCUUUUGGAGCUGAGUUGGUUCUGACAGAUCCUGCAAAAGGAAUAAUAGGGUCAGUUCAGAAAGCUGAAGAGAUAUUAGCUAAGACUCCCAAUGCCUAUAUACUCCAGCAAUUUGAAAACCCUGCCAAUCCUAAGGUAAUGUACAAAUUUGUUCUGUAACUGUAGCAGUGGAUGCUUGACAACUUAGGUGACACAUUUCUGUGAUCAUUGUAUUUGUAGGUACAUUAUGAAACUACAGGUCCAGAGAUAUGGGAAGGCUCAGGAGGGAAAGUUGAUGCACUUGUUAGUGGUAUAGGUACUGGUGGCACCAUAACGGGUGUAGGAAAAUUUCUUAAAGAGCAGAAUCCUAAUAUAAAGGUUACUUUUUUAAAAUUUGUAUAUGUUUAAAUAUAAUUUAAGAAAACUGUGCAUGUAAUUUUUCCUGACAAUUGAGAGAUAUAUUUGGUUAUGGUUUACAGCUGAAGCGGUCGUCUCUGUCAUUGUUUUUAUUUAUUUAUGUACUCAUUUUAUUUUUAUGAAGGUAUAUGGUGUGGAACCAGUUGAAAGUCCAGUGCUCUCUGGAGGAAAACCUGGUGAGUUAUAACACAUUCUUUGCUCCAUUGUGAAUAACUAUAGGGUACUUGUAAACCCCAAGAUAAUAAAAAACCUACGUAAAUCAUGAUUAACUAUAACAUCACAAUUUUAAAUAUUAAUUUCAUGUAACAUGAAAUAGUAAAUACAUCAAAAUGGAAAUUCUUAUGAUAAUAUUUUCAUUGAGCAUAAAAUAUUACAAGUAAAAUUAAUGAAAAAAACUCAUAGGAGGAAAUUCUAAAAUUUCUUAGAAAAAAUAGAAUAACCCCUAAAUAAAAACAUUGAUUCUUAAAUAUGUUAUUCCACUCUGCAGCACUUGGACUAUCACAUGCUUUCCUUAAAGAAAUUUAAUAUUUUCAUUCUCUGAAAGUUAUAUCUCUAAAUUAUAAGUCUGUUCCUAUAUGUUUUCCCGAUUGUUUUCCCUCUAGUAGUUACCUAUUUACACGCUGAAUGGUUUUUCUUUAUAAUAAAAUGAGUUCAGAUAACAACAUGCUCUUUAAGCUGUUUCUGAUAAGCAUAUUGCCAUUGUGAACAUCUAGGUCCACACAAGAUUCAAGGGAUUGGUGCUGGCUUUGUCCCUGGAGUAUUGGAAGUUAGUCUUUUAGAUGAAGUAGUUCAAGUAAGCUUUUAAUACUUUUUUAAUAGCAUUGUAUUUUUCAAGGCUUAACGUAAUAAUACAUAACGAAAUAUUAUAACCAUAUUCUGAAGUUGUUUGGCAAUGCAAUGUGCAGUUUUGGGAAACAAUGAGAAAAGUCCUUUGUUUAUUAUUUCUAAUGAACAUUGAUAAAUAACUUAAAGUUCUUAAUAUAUGGGUGUCAUACUGGGUGUUUCUUGUUUUAAUACCAAUUUGCUGAUAUUGAUGCAUUGUGCGCACUUUGGUUUGAGCACGGCCAAUUUUUGCAACUGAAUAAGACAACUUUGGUUUAGGAGCAUAUUGUUUAUUAUUUUUUGGGUAACAAAUAAAGGUAGUAAGUAAGUUAUGGUGCGCAUUGAGAUAUAUUUUCUGCUAUACAAUUGUCCUACAAAUUAUAAUCGUUCUCUCCUUCCCUGCACAAGUCCUUAGUUGGGAAAAACUUGAAUGACACCUUUGCAUCACGUUAACUCUAUUUGUCAACGUAAUUAAUUAUUCGAAAGAUAAUAAUUGUCAUUAUUUUGCGAUUAUUUUGGACAUUAGUAACAGUUUAAGAUUUGUUAAAUAAUGGAUGUAUGAUUUGGCAGAUAUCAAGUGAUGAAGCAAUAGAAACUGCAAAGCUUCUUGCACUUAAAGAGGGCCUAUUUGUAAGUUCUAAACCUCUAUAACAGCCAUAAUUGAGCCUAUUCCUCUAAUAGUAGUUAUCUAUUUCGUCUUUUUUCUGAUUUUGGAAAACCAUACGCUUAUGUUACAAAUUUAUUCUAUAAUAGCCUAUACUUCAAAUAUUACUGUAGGUUGGAAUAUCAUCUGGAGCUGCAGCUGCAGCUGCCAUUAAGAUAGCAAAAAGAUCAGAAAAUGCUGGAAAACUUAUUGUUGUAAGUUGAUCUUUUUCUGUACAAAUGUCUGUUAAGAACUUGCAACAGAGUCCCAUGUUUUUGUCAAUAUAUUAUCUUGUUUGUUUAGUUUUGAUUGAUGACAACUGAGAUUACGAGUCAUGAGCAUUAUUUUAGAAGUUUCACUUAGUGGACAGUUUCGUUUUGAUAUGGUACAGGUUAUUUUCCCAAGCUUUGGUGAGAGGUACCUGUCCACUGUGCUGUUUGAAUCAGUCAGACGGGAAGCUGAGAGCCUUACUUUUGAAUCCUGAUUUCAAGUGGUGGAUUUAGAUGGCGAAGUCAGUGAUCCUUGUGAUAUAGAUUGCGAUUCUCAAAUAAACAUUACUUCAGAAGAAA